CGACGCUCGCCAGCUUAUAGUGGUAGCUGUUUUUAUCGAGAGCUAUAAUACGUUUGCUGUUCUCUUUUGGUUUGUAGAAAACUUUGAGAACUGUUUAACACGGGAAAUGCCGCCUCAGUCACGUAUGAGUGACUCUAAUGUUUGACUAGUUUUCAAACAUCUCUGUUCUAAUACAUUCGAACGGACUGAAUUUAACUGGGACGUUUGGAAUGCAAAAAAUUGAAAUGUCAUCUGCAAUGGUAAAAUGACAGUUAAACCAGAUUGGAGAAAUAAGCCGUAAUCAAUGUUUCGUAAUCAGUGCGAAUUAGACUAUUAUCUCUCAGUAGAUUGUAAUGUUUGCUACUGAUAUUGUCAAAUAACAUGAGUUCUACCGUU
This is a long non-coding RNA of Megalopta genalis, 375 nucleotides long. RefSeq lists it as uncharacterized. Lineage: Eukaryota; Metazoa; Arthropoda; Insecta; Hymenoptera; Halictidae. The record is from RefSeq and is a predicted model, not a curated record.